UAACAUUUUGUCAAAUUCUAAUAUGAAAACCGUUGGGGCUGAUCUGGAUUCACUAACUCUCUUUAUUUGCAUCUUUUUCAUCAGGGUUUUAGAGAGAGAGAGAGAGAGAGAGAGAGAGAGUUCUAGAUAAAAUGUAUUUUCAUUGAAAAUUUGUUUUACAAAUUUAUGUGGAUUCAAAUCUAUGUUUUAGAUUGCAUAUCAUCCAUAGGAUUAGAUUUGUAAUCGGUGUCUUCAAGAUGGUUUGAUUUUAUUUGUUUCUCAAAUCUAUGUUUGCUAUAGUUCAUUUGGAUUUUUUUGGAAGUGUUGUUGAGAAGCUAGUGCCAUAAAAAUGAUGAGUUAGAUGAUGGUGAGCUGCCAUGAUUAUGAAGAUUAGUAGUUGCCGUGAUACUAUGAUUCAAAUGAAGAUUGCACAAGGUGUUGGUGGUGCCAUAGAGGUGAAGAGCUCAAGGUUGAGCUAGCUGCCAUCCACAAGAAGACUUUAUGGGUUCCUUGAAGAUGAAGAGCUAGAGAAUCUAGUUGUCAUCCACAAUAAGACCCGAUGGGGCCUUGGAGAUGACGAGCUCAAGGUUGAGCUAGCUGCCAUCUACAAGAAGACUUCAUGGGUGCCUUGAAGAUGAAGAGCUAGAGGAGCUAGUUGUCAUCUACAAUAAGACUCGAUGGAGCCUUGGAGAUGAAGAGCCCAAGGGUGAGGAGCUGCCAUUUUCAUGAAGACUGGUAUUAUGGUUCAAAGGUAUAGCUCCUUCCUAAUAUGGGUACAUGAAAUCUGAGCUUGAUUGGAUCUUCUUUGUAAGAAUCUUUUUUACACACUAUGGAUUGUCUGGUGAGACUGAUGACCCCGAGUGUUUACCCAGUGGCAAGCUUUUAGGUUAUCAUGGUUUGGUGUUGAUUCUUGCUGGGUGUCUAUUCUGGAUCUGUGAUUUGAUAAGUAGCCUUCAUAUAUUUUAUCAUCGAGAGUUACAUUUACAUUGAGAGAAAAUUCUAAGCUAAAGGAGAAAAAAAACAGAGAGUUUGAGAGGAGACCAGGCAACCCCUUGCCGAAGUGUUAAAAAGCUAUUGGAAUUGCAAAAAAGUAAGGUCAAACACUUCAAAGUAUUGAUGAGCAAAUUAUAUAUAUGGCGUUGGCGGGUGAAAUUGGAUUAAUGAAUUAAGAUGUUAAGGGUUUGUUUAGAAGUAAUUCUGGAUAGGCCAAUAAUCACUUCUAUGGAGAAUUAUUUUUCCAUUACUUUAAACGGUUUUAAGUAAAUUUAUGGAAAAUCACAUGGGAAGUGUUUUUUUCCAGAAUCACUUCAAAUCACUAAAAGUGAUUAUAUAUGAAGAAGAUGAGAUGUGCUUCUCCCCAAAAAUGAUUUUUGCCUAUCUAAAAUCACUCUCAAACAAGAUCACAUAUGGAACAAUAAUUUUCUAGUCAUGUUCCAC
Molecule: long non-coding RNA, 1416 nt
Filed under: Prunus persica (peach)
Lineage: Eukaryota; Viridiplantae; Streptophyta; Magnoliopsida; Rosales; Rosaceae
Description: long non-coding RNA (PPER_LNC003627)
Source: RNAcentral